Molecule: ribosomal RNA, 492 nt
Filed under: uncultured bacterium
Lineage: Bacteria
Description: partial 16S ribosomal RNA
Rfam family: Bacterial small subunit ribosomal RNA
Source: RNAcentral
AGUGAACGCUGGCGGUAGGCCUAACACAUGCAAGUCGAACGGCAGCACAGUAAGAGCUUGCUCUUACGGGUGGCGAGUGGCGGACGGGUGAGGAAUACAUCGGAAUCUACUUUUUCGUGGGGGAUAACGUAGGGAAACUUACGCUAAUACCGCAUACGACCUACGGGUGAAAGCAGGGGAUCUUCGGACCUUGCGCGAUUGAAUGAGCCGAUGUCGGAUUAGCUAGUUGGCGGGGUAAAGGCCCACCAAGGCGACGAUGCGUAGCUGGUCUGAGAGGAUGAUCGGCCACACUGGAACUGAGACACGGUCCAGACUCCUACGGGAGGGAGCAGUGGGGAAUAUUCCGCAAUGGGCGAAAACCUGACGGAGCAACGCCGCGUGGGUGAUGAAGGGCUUCGGAUCGUAAAACUCUGUUAUUAGGGAAGAAAAAAUGUGUAAGUAACUAUGCACGUCUUGACGGUACCUAAACAGAAAGCCACGGCUAACUACGUG